Molecule: ribosomal RNA, 252 nt
Filed under: uncultured bacterium
Lineage: Bacteria
Description: partial 16S ribosomal RNA
Rfam family: Bacterial small subunit ribosomal RNA
Source: RNAcentral
UACGUAGGUGGCGAGCGUUAUCCGGAAUGAUUGGGCGUAAAGGGUGCGUAGGCGGCCUGCUAAGUCUGGAGUGAAAGGUACCGGCUCAACCGGUACAGGCUCUGGAAACUGGCGGGCUAGAGAGCAGAAGAGGAGAGUGGAACUCCAUGUGUAGCGGUGAAAUGCGUAGAUAUAUGGAAGAACACCAGUGGCGAAAGCGGCUCUCUGGUCUGUAACUGACGCUGAGGUUCGAAAGCGUGGGGAGCAAACAGG